This 491-nucleotide ribosomal RNA is filed under the name uncultured bacterium. Its description in RNAcentral is "partial 16S ribosomal RNA". It matches the Rfam family "Bacterial small subunit ribosomal RNA", at positions 29 to 507 of the family's 1533-position model. The record is from RNAcentral.
AGUGAACGCUGGCGGUAGGCCUAACACAUGCAAGUCGAACGGCAGCACAGUAAGAGCUUGCUCUUACGGGUGGCGAGUGGCGGACGGGUGAGGAAUACAUCGGAAUCUACUUUUUCGUGGGGGAUCACGUAGGGAAACUUACGCUAAUACAGCAUACGACCUACGGGUGAAAGCAGGGGAUCUUCGGACCUUGCGCGAUUGAAUGAGCCGAUGUCGGAUUAGCUAGUUGGCGGGGUAAAGGCCACCACGGCGACGAUCCGUAGCUGGUCUGAGAGGAUGAUCGGCCACAUGGGAGCGGGGACGCGGUCCAGACUCCUGCGGGAGGCAGCAGUGGGGAAUAUUAGACAAUGGUGGCAAGCCUUAUCCAGCCAUACCGCGUGGGUGAAGAAGGCCUUCGGGUUGUAAAGCCCUUUUGUUGGGAAAGAAAAGCAGCAGGUUAAUACCCCGCUGUUCUGACGGUACCCAAAGAAUAAGCACCGGCUAACUUCGUG